Molecule: transfer RNA, 71 nt
Filed under: Loxodonta africana (African savanna elephant)
Lineage: Eukaryota; Metazoa; Chordata; Mammalia; Proboscidea; Elephantidae
Rfam family: tRNA
About the family: Transfer RNA (tRNA) molecules are approximately 80 nucleotides in length. Their secondary structure includes four short double-helical elements and three loops (D, anti-codon, and T loops). Further hydrogen bonds mediate the characteristic L-shaped molecular structure. tRNAs have two regions of fundamental functional importance: the anti-codon, which is responsible for specific mRNA codon recognition, and the 3' end, to which the tRNAs corresponding amino acid is attached (by aminoacyl-tRNA synthetases). tRNAs cope with the degeneracy of the genetic code in two manners: having more than one tRNA (with a specific anti-codon) for a particular amino acid; and 'wobble' base-pairing, i.e. permitting non-standard base-pairing at the 3rd anti-codon position.
Source: Rfam by way of RNAcentral
GCAUUGGCGACUCAAUGGUAGAAUUCUCACCUUCUAUGUGGGAGACACGGGUUCAAUUCCUGGCCAGUGUA